UAAAAAGUUGUUAAAGCGCACAUAACGAAUGCCUUGACAUAAGACACCGAAGAAGGACGCGAAAGGCUGCGAUAAGCUGCGGGGAGUCGCCAAAUGGACUUUGAACCGUAGAUUUCCGAAUGGGGAAACCCGGACUGGGUAAUGCUAGUUCACUCAUAUCUGAAUAUAUAGGAUAUGUAGAGGUAAGCUCUCGAACUGAAACAUCUUAGUAGGGAGAGGAAAAGAAAGUAAACAACGAUUCUGGUAGUAGUGGCGAGCGAAUCCAGAAGAGCCUAAACCUUUUAGGUUUCCGCCUGUUGGCGGAUAAGUAGACAGACGAAUAUCUAACGGGGGUUGCGAGAAUUAAAUAACCAGGCCAGAGUAUUUAAUAUUAAAUAGUCUGGUUAGGCUGUACGAUCUGUCUUCCAAGCGUACAUAAGAUUUAUAGCGAAGCGAGCAGAAGUAGCUGGAAAGCUACACCAUAGACGGUGAAAGUCCGGUAUGUGAAGCGUCGCUAGUCUUAUCAUUUGAUUUCUCAAGUAGGUCGGGACACGAGAAAUCCUGACUGAAGCUAGGACGACCACGUCCUAAGGCUAAAUAUGUCUUGUGAUCGAUAGCGAACAAGUACCGUGAGGGAAAGGUAAAAAGUACCCCGGAAGGGGAGUGAAAUAGAACCUGAAAUUGUGUGCGUACAAGGAGUCGGAGCCCUUCGGGGUGACGGCGUGCUUUUUGUAGAACGAUCCAGCGAGUUACUAAUAAGCGCAAGCUUAAGGUGUUACACCGGAGGCGUAGUGAAAGCGAGCCUGAAUCAGGGCUAAUUAAGUGUUUAUUGGUAGACCCGAAACCAGGUGACCUAACCAUGGGCAGGUUGAACCGUAGGUAAAACUACGUGGAGGACCGCACCAGGGAGAAUUGCAAAACUCUUGGAUGACCUGUGGUUAGCGGUGAAAUGCCAAUCGAACCUGGAGAUAGCUGGUUCUCCUCGAAAUAGCUUUGGGGCUAGCGUUGUGUAUAGUAGCGAGUGGGGGUAGAGCUCUGUUUUGGACUGGGGCCCGUGAGGGUACCCACCCUUGACAAACUACGAAUACCGCUUGUGUAAUCACAGCAGUUAGAACGUCGGGGCUAAGCUCGGCGCUCGAAAGGGAAACAGCCCAGAUCACCAUCUAAGGUCCCUAAAUCUACGUUAAGUGGGAAACGAGGUGAGAUUUCUUAAACAAUGAGGAUGUUGGCUUAGAAGCAGCCAUUCAUUUAAAGAGUGCGUAACAGCUCACUCAUCAAGAGAUUUUGCGCGGAAAAUGUAACGGGGCUAAACGUAGUACCGAAGAUGUGAAUCCGACAAUCGUCGGAUGGUAGAGGAGCGUUGUUAUUAGCGCUGAAGCUAAACUGUGAGGUUUAGUGGAGCGGUAACAAGUGAGAAUGCUGGAAUGAGUAACCAUAAGGUAGGUGAGAAUCCUACCCACCGAAAGAGCGAGGUUUCCUGGGCCAUGUUAAUCAUCCCAGGGUUAGUCGGGCCUAAGCCGAGGCGGAUAGCGUAGGCGAUGGACAACGGGUUAAUAUUCCCGUACCGGUUUUUUGUUGCUAAUUGGUGCGCAGAAUGGUAGCCAGAGCAGUUUGAUGGUAUAACUGUCUAAGCGUCUAGUUCGGCUUAUGCCGAGUGAAGCGCGAAUGAAAGUACCGAUUUAUCGGUACGAUUCUGGUGAGCCAAGCUGACUAGAAAAGCCAUUUAGUGUAAAAAAUAACCGACCGUACCGUAAACCGACACAGGUGCUCAGGUCGAGUAGACCAAGGUGUACGAGAGAACCCUUCUUAAGGAACUCGGCAAUACAGCGACCGUAACUUAGGGAUAAGGUCUGCCUCGCCACAAUGCCAUUAUUAUUUGGAUAAUCUGCUUUUAGCUAUCAGCUGAAUAGACAGAAAAGCAAACCGGAUACCAAAUUAAUGAUGCUAUUGUGGCGAGGCCGCAGCUAAAGAGCCCAUGCAACUGUUUACUAAAAACAUAGGUCUCUGCUAACACGAAAGUGGAUGUAUAGGGGCUGACGCCUGCCCGGUGCUGGAAGGUUAAGGAGAGAGCUUCACGGCUUGAACUGAAGCCCCAGUGAACGGCGGCCCUAACUAUAAGGGUCCUAAGGUAGCGAAAUUCCUUGUCAGGUAAGUUCUGACCCGCACGAAUGGCGUAAUGAUAUGGGUACUGUCUCGAGAAGGGACUCGGUGAAAGUGCAUUGACGGUAAAGAUGCCGUCUGUCCGCAUCAGGACGAAAAGACCCCGUGGAGCUUUACUGCAGUUUGACAUUGGACCGGGCUGCUAUAUGUGUAGCAUAGGUGGGAGGCUGUGAAGCUCUGGCGCUAGCCAGAGUGGAGCCAUCGGUGAAAUACCACCCUUAUAGUAGUCUUGUUCUUACCCAGGCCGUUAUCCGGUUUGGGGACAGUGUCUGAUGGGUAGUUUAACUGGGGCGGUUGCCUCCUAAAGAGUAACGGAGGCGUUCAAAGGUUGGCUAGCUACGGAUGGAAAUCGUAGUGGUAGUGUAUACGCAUAAGCCAGCUUGACUGUGAGGCUUACAAGCCAAGCAGGCACGAAAGUGGGAGUAAGUGAUCCGUUGUCCAUACAAUUAUGUAUAUGAACGUGGGAUCGACAACGCAAUCGGAUAAAAGUUACCCCGGGGAUAACAGGCUAAUAGCGCCCAAUAGUUCACAUAGACGGCGCUGUUUGGCACCUCGAUGUCGGCUCAUCUCAUCCUGGGGCUGGAGCAGGUCCCAAGGGUCCGGCUGUUCGCCGGUUAAAGAGGUACGUGAGCUGGGUUUAGAACGUCGUGAGACAGUUCGGUUUAUAUCCGAUGUGGACGGUAGGAAAUGUGAAGAAAAUUGCUCCUAGUACGAGAGGACCGGAGUGAACGCACCUCUGGUGUGCCAGUUGUUGUGCCAUGCAGCAUUGCUGGGUAGCUAAGUGCGGUCUAGAUAAGCGCUGAAAGCAUAUUAAGCGCGAAGCUGAUUCUAAGAUUACAUUUCCCUAUGAGACCCCUGAAAGACUAUCAGGUUGAUAGGCGCAAGGUGCAAGCAUAGCAAUGUGUUAAGCUGAAGCGUACUAAUAGGUCCAGUGACUUUUUAUA
This 3083-nucleotide ribosomal RNA is filed under the name Candidatus Saccharimonadota bacterium. RNAcentral describes it as "23S ribosomal RNA". It matches the Rfam family "Bacterial large subunit ribosomal RNA". Lineage: Bacteria; Candidatus Saccharimonadota. The record is from RNAcentral.